GGUUCGAUCAUGGCUCAGAUUGAACGCUGGCGGGAUGCUUUACACAUGCAAGUCGAACGGCAGCACGGACCGGUCUGGUGGCGAGUGGCGAACGGGUGAGUAAUGUAUCGGAACGUGCCUAGUAGCGGGGGGAUAACUACGCAAGCGUAGCUAAUGCCGCAUACGCCCUUCGAGGGAAAGCGGGGACCUUCGGGCCUCGCACUAUUAGAGCGGCCGAUAUCGGAUUAGCUAGUUGGUGGGCUAACGGCUCACCGGAAGCGACGAUCCGUAGCUGGUUUGAGAGGACGACCAGCCACACUGGGACUGAGACACGGCCCAGACUCCUACGAGAGGCGGCAGUGGGGGAAUUUUGGACAAGUAAAACCCUGAUCCAGCCAUCCCGCGUGUGCGAUGAAGGCCUUCGGGUUGUAAAGCACUUUUGGCAGGAAAGAAACGGCACGGGAUAAUACCCCGUGCAACUGACGAACACCUGCAGAAUAAGCACCGGCUAACUACGUGCCAGCAGCCGCGGUAAUACACGUAGAAAGUGCAAGCGUUAAUCGGAAUUACUGGGCGUAAAGCGUGCGCGGGCGGUUCGGAAGAAAGAUGUAGAAAUCCAGAGCAACUUUGGAACUGCAUUUUUAACUACCGAGCUAGAGUGUGUCAGAGGGAGGUGGAAUUCCCGCGUGUAGCAGUGAAAUGCGUAGAUAUGCGGAGGAACACCGAUAGCGAAGGCAGCCUCCUGGGAUAACACUGACGCUCAUGCACGAAAAGCGUGGGGAGCAAAACAGGAUUAGAUACCCUGGUAGUCCACGCCCUAAACGAUGUCAACUAGCUGUUGGGGCCUUCGGGCCUUGGUAGCGCAGCUAACGCGUGAAGUUGACCGCCUGGGAAAUACGGUCGCAAGAUUAAAACUCAAAGGAAUUGACGGGGACCCGCACAAGCGGUGGAUGAUGUGGAUUAAUUCGAUGCAACGCGAAAAACCUUACCUACCCUUGACAUGUCUGGAAUCCCGAAGAGAUUUGGGAGUGCUCGCAAGAACCGGAACACAGGUGCUGCAUGGCUGUCGUCAGCUCGUGUCGUGAGAUGUUGGGUUAAGUCCCGCAACAGGCGCAACCCUUGUCAUUAGUUGCUACAGAAAGGGGCACUCUAAUGAGACUGCCGGUGACAAACCGGAAGGUGGGGAUGGCGUCAAGUCCUCAUGGCCCUUAUGGGUAGGGCUUCACACGUCAUACAAUGGUCGGGACAGAGGGUCGCCAACCCGCGAGGGGAGCCAAUCCCAGAAACCCGAUCGUAGUCCGGAUCGCAGUCUGCAACUCGACUGCGUGAAGUCAAGAUCGCUAAUCGCGGAUCAGCAUGUCGCGGUGAAUACGUUCCCGGGUCUUGUACACACCCGUCACACCAUGGGGUAUGGGUUUUACCAGAAGUAGUUAGCCUAACCGUAAGGAGGCGAUUACCACGGUAGGAUUCAUGACUGGGGUAGCAGGAAGUCGUAACAAGGUAA
Molecule: ribosomal RNA, 1483 nt
Filed under: uncultured Bordetella sp.
Lineage: Bacteria; Pseudomonadati; Pseudomonadota; Betaproteobacteria; Burkholderiales; Alcaligenaceae
Description: partial 16S-23S ribosomal RNA intergenic spacer
Rfam family: Bacterial small subunit ribosomal RNA
Source: RNAcentral